Molecule: long non-coding RNA, 1191 nt
Organism: Pocillopora damicornis (cauliflower coral)
Lineage: Eukaryota; Metazoa; Cnidaria; Anthozoa; Scleractinia; Pocilloporidae
Source: RefSeq, a predicted model, not a curated record
AUGGGAAGACGUGUUGACAAAACAACCAAUAAAAUGCAACAAUUUAUGUGGUUAUUCUGACAACGGAUAUUUGAUUUAAAAAAAAUCGGCAGAAUGGAUUUAAGUUCAUUACUCUCACUGUUAGAAAAUAUCGAAUGGGAAACCUCGUUAUACUAAUGUCAGCUCGUAAAGAGGCAUCUUGCCAGCCAUGAUUUAUAAACGAAUAAAUUAGACUUUCUAAUUCAAUAGAUUAUUUUUUGUAUUAAUAAUAUCAUGUCUGUCUCGCUAGAAAGAAAAAUUUUGUAUUUAUAUUUCUUACGUUAGACACUGUCGAAUGAAGGCAUGUUUUUGUUAUGGUAACGGAAAAAACAAGGCUAGAGGAAAUUGUAAGUUAUUAAUAUGCAAAGUCAUCAUAGGUUGGACUCGAAGCAAAUAUUUUCCUUAUUUGUAAACAUUCUACUUAAAGGAGUAGUUCGAACAAAUGCCUCAGUUUAUUGAUGAAAAUGUAAUGUCAUCGUUAAAAGUGAGCGCUUCGGCAGUCUUAAUUCCAAGAUGGCUCGUUGUUUCGAAGGGUCACAGACUUUUAACUUCAUUUAUCUCCGAACAACUUCUACGCGACAAUCAAUGUCCGACCACCCAUCCCUUGGGAUUUCUGCGCCUUUCACCCCUCUCCUGUGGAAAAUUGCUUGUCAUACUUCAUUUUAGCCGAUGAUCUGACCUGCCCGGCGAGUGCAUUGGAAAUUGGGUCGGUACUGCUCUGACCAAGUUUACCAAUCUGUCACCAAUCAACAACUCUUUUAAGCCGAAUACAAGCCAAUUCUCCCUAUUCAUGGUAAGUUUUAAUAUUCCCAUGCCACAUUUUUGCUUUGAUUUCUAACUUGCAUUGUUUGGUCUUCCACGGCCCCUCUUUGGCUUUGGAAGCUUUGCCUUUGUGCACAUGGCCUAUUUAGUUACUUCCAUUCUCUUAGUGGUGUUUCUUUUAACAAACUAUGUUUCUCUAAGAGUACAAUCAAAAUAAACCUGAAUUUCUUAGGUUCUACAUCAUUAUCAUUUUUCUGUUACCUUUAUACUUAUCUUAUUCAUUUAAUAUAGAUUUAUAUUUUUUUUCUUUUGGAGGUAUUUUGAUAGCUAAAUUAUAGAGUUAAUGUCCCUCUCUAAGCUACUGUGGACGCAAUCAACGAAACAGAUUUUUAAAAAGAUGAAAAAAUUGUU